This 292-nucleotide ribosomal RNA is filed under the name uncultured bacterium. Its description in RNAcentral is "partial 16S ribosomal RNA". It matches the Rfam family "Bacterial small subunit ribosomal RNA", at positions 505 to 796 of the family's 1533-position model. The record is from RNAcentral.
GUGCCAGCCGCCGCGGUAAUACGUAGGUGGCAAGCGUUGUCCGGAUUUAUUGGGCGUACAGGGCGCGCAGGCGGUUCGUUAGGUUCGAGGUGAAAUCUCUUGGCUCAACUGGGAGAGGUCUUCGGAUACCGGCGGACUUGAGGAGAGCAGAGGUGAGUGGAAUUCUGGGUGUAGUGGUGAAAUGCGUAGAUAUCCAGAGGAACACCAGUGGCGAAGGCGACUCACUGGGCUCCACCUGACGCUGAGGCGCGAAAGCGUGGGGAGCGAACCGGAUUAGAUACCCCCGUAGUCC